RNAcentral lists this transfer RNA (97 nucleotides) under Gemmatimonadota bacterium. Its description in RNAcentral is "Gemmatimonadetes bacterium (soil metagenome) tRNA-Sec". It matches the Rfam family "Selenocysteine transfer RNA". Lineage: Bacteria; Pseudomonadati; Gemmatimonadota. The record is from RNAcentral.
GGGAAUGGAUGGGGUCUGGUGGCCUCUCUGGUCUUCAAAACCAGCAUGGGGUGCGUAGAGCGUCCCAGGUGGGUUCGAUUCCCACACGUUCCCGCCA